This 303-nucleotide long non-coding RNA is filed under the name Mytilus galloprovincialis (Mediterranean mussel). The record is from RNAcentral. Lineage: Eukaryota; Metazoa; Mollusca; Bivalvia; Mytilida; Mytilidae.
UUGGGGAUAAAAAUAUAAAAUAAGUUCUAAAUGUAGACACAAAAGAUAUUUUUCUAUAAAUUAAUUGUUUUUAUUUUGCUCCAAACGCAUAGAUCUAGGAGAAUCAAGCUAUCUAAAUGUGACUGUGCAUUUUCCUUGAAUUUUUGCUCUGACCUUUGACCCUGAUUUAAAAAAAUCGUGACCACGGUAGACAGCGACGACAACGCUAUUUCGAUGAGGAUUGUUCUCCUCUUUCCAAUGAUAUAAAAUAUAGCCGUAUGUUAUUCCGUUUAGGCAAAUCGAUAAUAUUUGUUGAUUGGGCAC